AUUGGUGCUUGCAUCAUGAUUUACAUUUGAGUGAGUGGCGAACUGGUGAGUAACACGUGGGAAACCUGCCCAGAAGCGGGGGAUAACACCUGGAAACAGAUGCUAAUACCGCAUAACAACUUGGACCGCAUGGUCCGAGCUUGAAAGAUGGCUUCGGCUAUCACUUUUGGAUGGUCCCGCGGCGUAUUAGCUAGAUGGUGGGGUAACGGCUCACCAUGGCAAUGAUACGUAGCCGACCUGAGAGGGUAAUCGGCCACAUUGGGACUGAGACACGGCCCAAACUCCUACGGGAGGCAGCAGUAGGGAAUCUUCCACAAUGGACGAAAGUCUGAUGGAGCAACGCCGCGUGAGUGAAGAAGGGUUUCGGCUCGUAAAACUCUGUUGUUAAAGAAGAACAUAUCUGAGAGUAACUGUUCAGGUAUUGACGGUAUUUAACCAGAAAGCCACGGCUAACUACGUGCCAGCAGCCGCGGUAAUACGUAGGUGGCAAGCGUUGUCCGGAUUUAUUGGGCGUAAAGCGAGCGCAGGCGGUUUUUUAAGUCUGAUGUGAAAGCCUUCGGCUCAACCGAAGAAGUGCAUCGGAAACUGGGAAACUUGAGUGCAGAAGAGGACAGUGGAACUCCAUGUGUAGCGGUGAAAUGCGUAGAUAUAUGGAAGAACACCAGUGGCGAAGGCGGCUGUCUGGUCUGUAACUGACGCUGAGGCUCGAAAGUAUGGGUAGCAAACAGGAUUAGAUACCCUGGUAGUCCAUACCGUAAACGAUGAAUGCUAAGUGUUGGAGGGUUUCCGCCCUUCAGUGCUGCAGCUAACGCAUUAAGCAUUCCGCCUGGGGAGUACGGCCGCAAGGCUGAAACUCAAAGGAAUUGACGGGGGCCCGCACAAGCGGUGGAGCAUGUGGUUUAAUUCGAAGCUACGCGAAGAACCUUACCAGGUCUUGACAUACUAUGCAAAUCUAAGAGAUUAGACGUUCCCUUCGGGGACAUGGAUACAGGUGGUGCAUGGUUGUCGUCAGCUCGUGUCGUGAGAUGUUGGGUUAAGUCCCGCAACGAGCGCAACCCUUAUUAUCAGUUGCCAGCAUUAAGUUGGGCACUCUGGUGAGACUGCCGGUGACAAACCGGAGGAAGGUGGGGAUGACGUCAAAUCAUCAUGCCCCUUAUGACCUGGGCUACACACGUGCUACAAUGGAUGGUACAACGAGUUGCGAACUCGCGAGAGUAAGCUAAUCUCUUAAAGCCAUUCUCAGUUCGGAUUGUAGGCUGCAACUCGCCUACAUGAAGUCGGAAUCGCUAGUAAUCGCGGAUCAGCAUGCCGCGGUGAAUACGUUCCCGGGCCUUGUACACACCGCCCGUCACACCAUGAGAGUUUGUAACAC
RNAcentral lists this ribosomal RNA (1372 nucleotides) under Lactiplantibacillus plantarum. Its description in RNAcentral is "bacterial SSU rRNA". It matches the Rfam family "Bacterial small subunit ribosomal RNA", at positions 69 to 1420 of the family's 1533-position model. The record is from RNAcentral. Lineage: Bacteria; Bacillati; Bacillota; Bacilli; Lactobacillales; Lactobacillaceae.